ACUCCUACGGGAGGCAGCAGUGGGGAAUAUUGGACAAUGGGCGAAAGCCUGAUCCAGCCAUGCCGCGUGUGUGAAGAAGGUCUUCGGAUUGUAAAGCACUUUAAGUUGGGAGGAAGGGCAAUCAGCGAAUACCUGGUUGUUUUGACGUUACCGACAGAAUAAGCACCGGCUAACUCUGUGCCAGCAGCCGCGGUAAU
This 197-nucleotide ribosomal RNA is filed under the name Pseudomonas fulva. RNAcentral describes it as "partial 16S ribosomal RNA". It matches the Rfam family "Bacterial small subunit ribosomal RNA", at positions 335 to 524 of the family's 1533-position model. The record is from RNAcentral. Lineage: Bacteria; Pseudomonadati; Pseudomonadota; Gammaproteobacteria; Pseudomonadales; Pseudomonadaceae.